GUAGGUGGCAAGCGUUGUCCGGGAAUUAUUGGGGCGUAAAGCGCGCGCAGGCGGUUCUUUAAGUCUGAUGUGAAAGCCCACGGGCUCAACCGUGGAGGGUCAUUGGAAACUGGAGAACUUGAGUACAGAAGAGGAAAGCGGAAUUCCACGUGUAGCGGUGAAAUGCGUAGAGAUGUGGAGGAACACCAGUGGCGAAGGCGGCUUUCUGGUCUGUAACUGACGCUGAGGCGCGAAAGCGUGGGGAGCAAACAGGAUUAGAUACCCUGGUAGUCCACGCCGUAAACGAUGAGUGCUAAGUGUUAGGGGGUUUCCGCCCCUUAGUGCUGCAGCUAACGCAUUUAAGCACUCCGCCUGGGGAGUACGGCCGCAAAGGCUG
RNAcentral lists this ribosomal RNA (376 nucleotides) under uncultured organism. RNAcentral's name for it is "partial 16S ribosomal RNA". It matches the Rfam family "Bacterial small subunit ribosomal RNA", at positions 527 to 896 of the family's 1533-position model. The record is from RNAcentral.